This 253-nucleotide ribosomal RNA is filed under the name uncultured bacterium. RNAcentral's name for it is "partial 16S ribosomal RNA". It matches the Rfam family "Bacterial small subunit ribosomal RNA", at positions 524 to 776 of the family's 1533-position model. The record is from RNAcentral.
GACAGAGGGUGCAAACGUUGUUCGGGAUUACUGGGCGUAAAGCGUGUGUAGGCGGUCCAUUAAGUCGGGUGUGAAAGCCCUGGGCUCAACCCAGGAAGUGCACUCGAAACUGGCGGGCUAGAGUAUCGGAGAGGUUGGUGGAAUUCUCGGUGUAGAGGUGAAAUUCGUAGAUAUCGAGAGGAACACCGGUGGCGAAGGCGGCCAACUGGACGAAUACUGACGCUGAGACACGAAAGCGUGGGGAGCAAACAGG